This 207-nucleotide long non-coding RNA is filed under the name Vigna radiata. Its description in RNAcentral is "long non-coding RNA (VRAD_LNC015594)". Lineage: Eukaryota; Viridiplantae; Streptophyta; Magnoliopsida; Fabales; Fabaceae. The record is from RNAcentral.
UGGGGGGUGGUUUUGUGAAGAGUUUGUGUGAAUGCGGAUGAAUUAAAUCAAAAGACGGAUGCAAACAGAAAUGCAAACACAGAUGUAAAAAGACACGGAAACAAAAUAUUAAAAAUGGAAUCAAAUGCAGAAUAAAAAUGAUUGGUCAUUAACUCAAUUACUAUGCUUCCAAUCCCCGAUUAAAGACAAGUACACACUACUCUAAUU